AGUCCACAUAAAUUUCUCGGUGGCCCCGGAAGCCCUGGAAUGCUUCUCAUGUCCGAUAGCCUUUACCGUCUGAAAGACUCUCCACCUUCGACGAGUGGCGGCGGAACCGUCGUCUACGUCGCCUAUAACGAGAAAGUAAGAAAUAAAUAAAUCACUUCAACCUAAUUAAACUUUUGGAGAGUACCAAUUGACUUGAUUCUCUAAAUAGGAUACACUCUACUGUGAGGAUUUGGAAGAGAGAGAAGACGCCGGCACGCCGGCGAUAGUGCAGAAGAUCCGGACGGCGUUGGCGUUCCGUGUGAAGGAGUAUAUCGGCCAUGAUCUGAUACGUGAUCGUGAAGCGUACCUAUCGAAGAAAAUUAUGGAGAAGCUCUCUAGCAAUGAUAAAAUAUUUGUUCUUGGCAAUUUGACGGAUGAAAGGCAACCCAUAGUCUCUUUUCUGAUCUACCCGGAAGGUGCUCGCCGGGGAAAACAUCUGCAUUGCCGCUUUGUUACAAUCCUUCUCAAUGACCUCUUUGGCAUUCAGGCACGCGGCGGAUGUGCCUGUGCUGGGCCAUACGCACAUGCGCUUCUCGGAAUCAGCUCGGAUCGAUCUCAACAAAUCCGAUACUUGAUCGAGCAGGUAAAAUUGGGAAAUCUCAAUCGUUUAUCUCACGGUAAUCUAAGGUUGUAAUUGAUGGAGAUUUACCGGCGUAAACAAUCAUAUGCAGGGGUACGAGGGAGUGAAGCCGGGAUUUACUCGUGUGAGCAUCGGGUAUUGCUCAUCGGAGGAGGAAACUGAUUUCGUCUUAGACGCGGUGGACUUCGUUGCAAGAUACGGAGAACGUUUCCUUUCUCUCUACAGAUUCGACUGGAAGACCGGCGACUGGCAUUACACCGACGAUCAUUGCAAUAAAACAAUUGGAAUUACUGCCCGCCGGAAUCAAUCCGGUAAUGGAUCCGAUGAGAAAUACGACGAGUACAUGAGUCUUGCUAUGAGUCUUUUAGAUAUACUUCCUGUCGGUCAUGCAAUGACACCUGUACCUGCCGACAUCGGACCGGAGACUCUGACUUUCAUCACGUGACCGUACGUCGAUCUACGAGCUUGGUUUGUUCACUGUCCGAUUGAUACGUAUAUUUGAAUUUUUACCACGUGCCUGAAUCCUAAGUGCCUCUCGGUUUAUUAAUUUAAAUGAUUUUUUUUGUUAUUGGUGACUGGUGUAACUUGUAACUUUACCAAUAUUGACAUGCUAAAUAAAAAUAAAUCAUACAAAUCUCAAUUUCUUUCCACUUAAUUCAGUAUAAAUAUAUACUCAAAAAAAAUAAUACACCACAUGGUAGUGAGCUCUGUUGAAUCUGACUCCGACGUCCGAAGAUUAUAAGUAAUACAAUUCAUAAUAUAAACUACGACAACUCACACACUUCUUAAAAAAAUGAUACACCACGUGGUAGUGAGCUUUGCUGAACCUGACUCUGUAUAGAAGCACGUCCAAAUAUUAUAAGUAAUACAACUUAUAAUAUAAACAAAGACAAUUCACACACUCUCCCUCUCAUCUCGAUUUCAAAAACCCUUCAAAGAGGUUGGGGUAUAUUUCCACUCACCAUGUGCUCGUGCCUAUAAAGAAUGGUAUGUGAUGAUAAAAGAGAGAAGAAAAUAACGGUAGAAGAAGAAGAAGAAUGAAGAAAGGAAGAAGAUCGACCAAGAAAUAUGUUGGUACCAAGGCCCGUCCAGACGGACCAUGGGUCGAACAUGACCGCACGGCCCAGAAGGCCCAGGGAAGCAUACUAUAAGUACCUCCCUUGGAGCAACAGGGAGAGGGGUCGAUUAUUAGUGAGAGCAAUACUAGAAAGUUGUGUGUGAGCACUUUAACGCGAGCCCACACACCAUCAUUGGUGAACUUGACGUGAAUCAAACACGCAACCGGAGUAGAAGAGAAGAUGGUCGGAAGGAGUGAGUACCAUGUAGGAGAGAGCUCGAGGCACCGUGGAGAGAGGAAACCCCACAACCAGGAGAUCACCCCGGUCACCCGGCGGCCGCUGAAGGAUUUCGAAGAGGACUCGGACAGAACUGAGUCGUACCUCUCGUAUAGGAGGAAGCCUGCGGCCAGGACACUCGAGGCCCGGGAGUAGGCCGAAGCUAAUGAGGAGGCCCGGCGUAAGGAGGAAAGGAAGCGCAGGCGGGGGAGACGGAGCAGGUCCCCGACCCCACCGAGAGAAGGGAACGUCACCGGAAGAAGCAUUCCGAGAACGCGAAGCUCUCAGAGUUGGUCUCCGCCCUACAGGAGCAACUCCCACUACCAGAUUACUGACUUUUAGCGACGACCAGAAACCGUCUCUAAUCAUUAAAAACCGUCGCGAAUUGAUGGAAGAUGCUACUCUAUAUAAAGAGGUAGGUAGGCAUGCAGACAUAUUAUAAUCCUGGAAGAGGUCAACAUCAGACCUUUCAUCAGCAAAAUAAUAAUCCUACAACUCAAACUCAGAUUGUGAUUGCCCAAAGCCAUUACCCAAGACUGAUAAGCCUCUAAUUUUGACAGCCCCACAUUCCACCUUCUCUUAGCUUGAUACUGCAUUUUUCUGCUAAAUCUGUGAUAAAUUAAUGGAUAUUCUAAUGCUUGUCUAAUCUCUGUAAAUUAUAAUGUAAAUUGCUUGCCCAAAAUCCAAAUAAAAUCCAAGUAGGAUCGAUAAUAAACAAAAGAACAGAGAGGAAACUGGAAAAAGAGAUGUGGGUAAGUAACAGGAUGUGAGUGAAGAAAAUAACAGUGGUUGUCAUAGACUCACAAACUCACCGGAGGAUGUCAUUUUGAAAAUAACAGUAAAUUCUUAUCUCAUUUUGAAACUAAAUUCUAUAAAUCAAAGAACAUAAAAAUAAACCAGAGGAUGUCAUAGAACUCACCGGAGGAGGUUUUUUAAUUCACCAAGUCCUCACUGCCCUCACUGCGGAUGAAGAAAUCGAUCGCUGUCCUCACUGCGCCCGCUGGAAGAUGAAGAACUCGUGCUCGCCGGAAGAUGAAGAAGUCGUGGUCGCCGAUGUCGGAAUGGAAUGCAAGAAAUCGGAACGAUUGGGUUUGGGAGAGAUUGAAAAUAGGGAAGUUUAGGGAUUUAGGGAUUUUAGGAAUUUUAGUUGGGGUUUAGAAAUUUAUUUAGGGAUUUAGGAAUUUUAGG
RNAcentral lists this long non-coding RNA (3141 nucleotides) under Zostera marina. RNAcentral describes it as "long non-coding RNA (ZMAR_LNC000451)". The record is from RNAcentral. Lineage: Eukaryota; Viridiplantae; Streptophyta; Magnoliopsida; Alismatales; Zosteraceae.